GGGUUAGGUUAGUUGGAAGUAGAUCUACUUGAGUUUGACCCUUAUGACUAAGAAAAAUUAGGAUGCUUCCUCCAUCCUGGAUUGUACGUUGAUGCAUAGGAGUCAUUUGUGGGUCAGUGAUAAGCAGCGUUGAUCGGUGUUACUUCAUUCUCGAUUGGGCCCAUCAAGAAGGGACAUACUUUCAUUGUGUGGUUUGUGGCAUCACACCCAUUGCAAGUGGAUGUUGAAACUUGGUUCACCUAAGUAUGUCCUUGGAGUUCUAAGGCUUCAAUUCUUUGGAUUAGGUUAGCAAUUUUGGCUUCGAUAGCUAGGGAAGGUUGAACUUGAUGUACUCCUCAUCUUAAAGGUGUGAGUC
This 355-nucleotide long non-coding RNA is filed under the name Elaeis guineensis (African oil palm). RNAcentral describes it as "long non-coding RNA (EGUI_LNC026050)". Lineage: Eukaryota; Viridiplantae; Streptophyta; Magnoliopsida; Arecales; Arecaceae. The record is from RNAcentral.